AUGAUUAAUAAAGCGAGGGCAGUGGGGCACAUUAAAGGGCUUGUAGCCCACCUUAUUCCUGGUGGGGUUACGCAUCUGCAAUACGCAGAUGAUACGAUGCUCUUAUUCGAACCCGGUGACCACAACAUAGCUACCAUCAAGUUACUACUGCUCGCUUUUGAGAUUUUAUCGGGGCUUAAGAUCAACUUUCUGAAGAGCGAAGUGAUCACCAUUGGGAUGGAUGAUCUAGCAAGCACUCGGAUUGCGAAUCUACUUAAUUGCAAGCUAGGGAGCUUCCCGAUUAAAUACUUGGGUCUUCUGAUCUCGACCAAGAAACUAACAAUAGCGGAAUGG
RNAcentral lists this ribosomal RNA (333 nucleotides) under Triticum aestivum (bread wheat). RNAcentral describes it as "partial small subunit ribosomal RNA". The record is from RNAcentral. Lineage: Eukaryota; Viridiplantae; Streptophyta; Magnoliopsida; Poales; Poaceae.